CUGAAGAGUCCCAUAAUAGGACGAAACGGCCGUC
Non-coding RNA from Schistosoma haematobium, 34 nucleotides. The record is from Rfam. NCBI's taxonomy places the organism in Eukaryota, Metazoa, Platyhelminthes, Trematoda, Strigeidida, Schistosomatidae.